RNAcentral lists this long non-coding RNA (961 nucleotides) under Diabrotica virgifera virgifera (western corn rootworm). RNAcentral describes it as "uncharacterized LOC126890028". Lineage: Eukaryota; Metazoa; Arthropoda; Insecta; Coleoptera; Chrysomelidae. The record is from RNAcentral.
CCUUAAUACUCAAAAGAGUAAAUGAAUUAAAAAUGUAUAAACAUUCUCAAUUUCUUUGCAAAACGAAAAUGCAGCAGCUGCAUAAUACUCUGGUUAAAGCGGAGAGUGCAGGAAGAGUCUAUACCGGUUUCGGAGAUCAUUUUCCCCUCAUCAGUAAACCCAUAUCCUCUUCUCUCCGCUUUAACCAUUUACCACAGCUUAGGGCCUUCCCGAAUUGCAAAGAAAGAAAUGUCACGGAUGAACUAGGGCCAUCUACCGGAAAACAAACUAAGUUAUCAAUCGAAGCAGCGCAGAAAACGACAAUAAAUAUCGCCUCCGUACCACCAGAUUGACAACAGGUGGAAUACUUUCUUUGGUUACACCUCCUGAGACUUUUACAAUUUAUAAGUCAUACAGGUGCCGAGAAAAUUAAGAUGAGAGAAUUUUAAAUAAUUCACAACUCAUCUACUCAGCAUGGUAAAGCUCCAACAAGAAAGAUUCCUUAAUACUCAAAAGAGUAAAUGAAUUAAAAAUGUAUAAACAUUCUCAAUUUCUUUGCAAAACGAAAAUGCAGCAGCUGCAUAAUACUCUGGUUAAAGCGGAGAGUGCAGGAAGAGUCUAUACCGGUUUCGGAGAUCUUUUUCCCCUCAUCAGUAAACCCAUAUCCUCUUCUCUCCGCUUUAACCAUUUACCACAGCUUAGGGCCUUCCCGAAUUGCAAAGAAAGAAAUGUCACGGAUGAACUAGGGCCAUCUACCGGAAAACAAACUAAGUUAUCAAUCGAAGCAGCGCAGAAAACGACAAUAAAUAUCGCCUCCGUACCACCAGAUUGACAACAGGUGGAAUACUUUCUUUGGUUACACCUCCUGAGACUUUUACAAUUUAUAAGUCAUACAGGUGCCGAGAAAAUUAAGAUGAGAGAAUUUUAAAUAAUUCACAACUCAUCUACUCAGCAUGGUAAAGCUCCAACAAGAAAGAUUCCU